AUAUUGGGCAAUGGGCGAAAGCCUGACCCAGCCACGCCGCGUGCGGGAAGAAGGCCCACAGGGUUGUAAACCGCUUUUCUUCGGGAAUAAAGCCCUGGUCGCCAGGGUCUGCAGGUACCGGGGGAAUAAGCACCGGCAAACUACGUGCCAGCAGCCGCGGUAAUACGUAGGGUGCAAGCGUUGUCCGGAUUUACUGGGUUUAAAGGGUGCGCAGGCGGCGGUGUAAGUCCGGGAUGAAAGGGGGGGGCUCAACCCCCCCGCUGUCUCGGAUACUGCACGGCUAGAGUCACAAUGAGGUAACUGGAAUAGACGGUGUAGCGGUGAAAUGCGUAGAGAUCGUCUGGAACGCCAAUUGCGAAGGCAGGUUACUGGUUGUGUACUGACGCUCAGGCACGAAAGCGCGGGUAGCGAA
RNAcentral lists this ribosomal RNA (412 nucleotides) under uncultured bacterium. RNAcentral's name for it is "bacterial SSU rRNA". It matches the Rfam family "Bacterial small subunit ribosomal RNA", at positions 361 to 772 of the family's 1533-position model. The record is from RNAcentral.